This 783-nucleotide transfer RNA is filed under the name Pleurocapsa minor HA4230-MV1. RNAcentral's name for it is "16S-23S ribosomal RNA intergenic spacer". The stretch from base 325 to 397 matches the Rfam family "tRNA". The record is from RNAcentral. Lineage: Bacteria; Bacillati; Cyanobacteriota; Cyanophyceae; Pleurocapsales; Pleurocapsaceae.
UAGAGGGAGACCUAACCGUGAAGUGAAGACAAGAAUAAUUAAAGUCUCACGCUCACAGGUCAAACCAAGGUCGGUUCAAAAAACUCAAGUUGGUCAAAAACUGUCAAACUAAUUGUUCUGGUUAAAACUCGCUCGUUCGAGAGAGAAAAGACUGGGAAUCAAAAACAAGGGCUAUUAGCUCAGGUGGUUAGAGCGCACCCCUGAUAAGGGUGAGAUCCCUGGUUCAAGUCCAGGAUGGCCCACCACCAAAUCAAGUAAGAACAAGAGAGUAGAAAGUAAGAAGUAAAAAGCUGAGCAAGUCCACAAUCAAGUUCUGAAAAUUGAGGGGGUAUAGCUCAGCUGGUAGAGCGCCUGCUUUGCAAGCAGGAUGUCAGCGGUUCAAAUCCGCUUACCUCCACCAAAAAAGAAGCCCCAGAAAAAGUAAUAAAAUUCAGCACUGUCAUGACUACAAGCAAAGAGUAGGAUGAGGAUGCUGGAGUUUAAGACUUCAGAGAAGAACCUUGAAAACUGCAUAAUAUCUAGAAGAAGUAAGCAAAACUAGAGACUUGAAAGAGUUGAAAGCGAGUUUACUUGUGAUAGAGCCAAUCAAGAACUAAGUAAGAAAUUAAUUUAGGUCAAAAAGAGGUGAGAACCCGCGUUAUGCCUUGCGGCGUCCUAAAGGAUACCGCAAGGCACAAGGGAAUGCUCACCUUAAACUAAGGCGUGAACGAAAGUUUACAAACUAGUCCAAGAGUAGAGAACAAAAGCUAGAAAUAGCGAAAAAAGCUCAGUCAACUGAGAAAU